GGUAGCUCAACCGGAAGAGCGCUGCUCUACGAAAGCGGAGGCGGGGGGUUCGAAUCCUUCCCAUCCUUCCCCA
This 73-nucleotide transfer RNA is filed under the name Gemmataceae bacterium. RNAcentral describes it as "tRNA-Arg". It matches the Rfam family "tRNA". Rfam says of the family: Transfer RNA (tRNA) molecules are approximately 80 nucleotides in length. Lineage: Bacteria; Pseudomonadati; Planctomycetota; Planctomycetia; Gemmatales; Gemmataceae. The record is from RNAcentral.